RNAcentral lists this ribosomal RNA (351 nucleotides) under uncultured bacterium. RNAcentral describes it as "partial 16S ribosomal RNA". It matches the Rfam family "Bacterial small subunit ribosomal RNA", at positions 338 to 706 of the family's 1533-position model. The record is from RNAcentral.
CCUACGGGAGGCAGCAGUAGGGAAUAUUGCUCAAUGGGGGAAACCCUGAAGCAGCAACGCCGCGUGGAGGAUGAAGGUUUUCGGAUUGUAAACUCCUUUUGUUAGAGAAGAUAAUGACGGUAUCUAACGAAUAAGCACCGGCUAACUCCGUGCCAGCAGCCGCGGUAAUACGGCGGGUGCAAGCGUUACUCGGAAUCACUUGGCGUAAAGAGCGCGUAGGGGGGAUAGCAAGUCAGAUGUGAAAUACUAUGGCUUAACCAUAGAACUGAAUUUGAAACCGUUUAUCUAGGGGAUGGGAGAGGGUGGGUGGAAGUCUGGUUGUAGGGGAAAAACCCGAAGAGACAAAGGGAA